Molecule: ribosomal RNA, 658 nt
Filed under: uncultured fungus
Lineage: Eukaryota; Fungi
Description: eukaryotic LSU rRNA
Rfam family: Eukaryotic large subunit ribosomal RNA
Source: RNAcentral
CCCGCUGAACUUAAGCAUAUUAAUAGGCGGGGCAGAGAAGUACAAUAGUGAUUCUUCAGUAGUGGCGAACGAAGGGGUCAGGUUCUCAGCAUAGUAGAUUGUUCGCCGCAAUUAUGCUUGGUACGUAGCUUUAGCUGGUGAUGAGGGAAGGGCAAGGUCUCCGGAAAGGGACGCUCAGAUUGUUGAUAGCAGACUGUUGCUUUCCUGCAGUGACGGAAGGCGAGGCGCCGCAGAGUCGUGUAUACUGAAAUGCGAGCACUAAGAGUGUGGUAGAGAUUUCACAGGAGGACGGUGCGCCGAAGGCAGGCCGAUAGGGUAGAAGUACUGUGAAGGAAGGUUGAUAAGAACUUUGGAGAGAGAGUUAAGAGUGCUUGAAAUCGCCGGCAGGGAAGAGACCAUGAGGUCGUACAUCGGCAAAGUUGGCCAUGCAAGGCGCAGAUCGGGCUCGCCUGUAAGGCUUCUUACGUGCCAGAACUGCUAUGUCGAGACUACAACGGUACCCGCUAUAUAUGCCUUGAGACCGCUAAACUUUGGGGUCAUGACUGUAUAGCGGUGAACGGACCGAGUCUUAGGGCUGAACGCUGCGAUCCGUUGAAACGGCAGUAGAUCAUUUCGUGCCCUGAUUGUGACCUCGGGGUCUUCCCGUCUUGAAACACGG